This 581-nucleotide ribosomal RNA is filed under the name fungal sp. RNAcentral's name for it is "eukaryotic LSU rRNA". It matches the Rfam family "Eukaryotic large subunit ribosomal RNA", at positions 1 to 592 of the family's 3401-position model. The record is from RNAcentral. Lineage: Eukaryota; Fungi.
UUGACCUCGAAUCAGGUAGGAAUACCCGCUGAACUUAAGCAUAUCAAUAAGCGGAGGAAAAGAAACCAACAGGGAUUGCCCCAGUAACGGCGAGUGAAGCGGCAACAGCUCAAAUUUGAAAUCUGGCUCUCGGGCCCGAGUUGUAAUUUGUAGAGGAUGCUUUUGGUGAGGUGCCUUCCGAGUUCCCUGGAACGGGACGCCAUAGAGGGUGAGAGCCCCGUCUGGUUGGACMCCGAUCCUCUGUAAAGCUCCUUCGACGAGUCGAGUAGUUUGGGAAUGCUGCUCUAAAUGGGAGGUAUAUGUCUUCUAAAGCUAAAUACCGGCCAGAGACCGAUAGCGCACAAGUAGAGUGAUCGAAAGAUGAAAAGAACUUUGAAAAGAGAGUUAAACAGUACGUGAAAUUGUUGAAAGGGAAGCGCUUGUGACCAGACUUGGGCUUGGUUGAUCAUCCGGGGUUCUCCCCGGUGCACUCUUCCGGCCCAGGCCAGCAUCAGUUCGCCCUGGGGGACAAAGGCUUCGGGAAUGUGGCUCUCUCCGGGGAGUGUUAUAGCCCGUUGCGUAAUACCCUGUGGCGGACUGAG